AAGCAAGCUGCAGGGUCUGGAGGGGAGCGAAUUUGUGCUGCUGCCCUCUGGGAUGCUCUUGAUCUCUCCUACCCUAGACUCCAGCUGCCCUUCUGAAGAGGACCUGGAGGUAUCUGACACUUCCCUGAGGAAAAAGAUGGUCUUGUAAGUAAGCAAAGCAGGAAGUUGCAGGCUAUAGAAGCUGUGACACACUAGAUGACAGAACCCUCCACACAGCAUUUCAUCCUUUGCUCCAGGAGCUGACUGGCUAAGGCAAAACAUAAAUGAAAAUUGACAUGGUAAAGAUGACGGUCCAGGUCCAGUGGCUCACAUCUGUAAUUCCAGCACUUUGGGAGGCUGAAGCAGGUGGAUUACGAGGUCAGGAAUUAAAGACCAGCCUGGCCAACAUGGUGUAAACCCGGCUCUACUAAAAACCUGGCUCCUGUAAUCCCAGCUACUUGGGAGGGUGAGGCAGGAGCAUCACUUGAAACUGGAAGGCGGAGGUUGAAGUGAGCUGAGGUCAUGCCAUUUGAACCUUCAGCCUGGGCAAAAAGACUGAAACUCCAUCUUAAAAAAAAAUAAAAAGAAAGAAAGAAAGAGAUAAUGGACCCAUAAGAAGCAAAUGAAAACAAAUUCUUAAGAACUCAAACAGAUUUACAGGAAAAAAACAAACAAGCCCAUUCAAAAGUGGGCAAAGGAUAUGAACAGAUACUUUACGAAAGAAGACAUAUAUGAGGCCAACAAUCAUAUGAAAAAAUGCUCAUCGUCACUGGUCAUCAGAGAGAUGCAAAUCAAAACCACAUUGAGAUACCAUCUCACGCCAGUUAGAAUGGCGAUCAUUAAAAAAUCUGGAGACAACAGAUGCUGGAGAGGAUGUGGAGAAAAAGGAACACUUUUACACUGUUGGUGGGAGUGUAAAUUAGUUCAACCAUUGUGGAAGACAGUGUGGCGAUUCCUCAAGGCCUUAGAAAUAGAAAUUCCAUUUGACCCAGCAAUCCCAUUACUGGGUGUAUAUCCAAAAGACUAUAAAUCGUUCUACUAUAAGGACACAUGUACACGAAUGUUCAUUGCAGCACUGUUUACAAUAGCAAAGACCUGGAAUCAACCCAAAUGCCCAUUGAUAAUAGACUGGAUUGGAAAAAUGUGGCACAUAUACACCAUGGAAUAUUAUGCAGCAAUCAGAAAUGAUGAGUUUGUGUCGUUUGUAGGGACAUGGAUGAAUCUGGAAAACAUCAUCCUCAGCAAACUGACACAAGAACAGAAAAUGAAACACCGCAUA
Long non-coding RNA from Callithrix jacchus (white-tufted-ear marmoset), 1258 nucleotides. RefSeq lists it as uncharacterized. The record is from RefSeq and is a predicted model, not a curated record. NCBI's taxonomy places the organism in Eukaryota, Metazoa, Chordata, Mammalia, Primates, Cebidae.